This 2749-nucleotide long non-coding RNA is filed under the name Brassica napus (rape). RNAcentral describes it as "long non-coding RNA (BNAP_LNC006402)". Lineage: Eukaryota; Viridiplantae; Streptophyta; Magnoliopsida; Brassicales; Brassicaceae. The record is from RNAcentral.
GUUGAAGAGCUUGACGUUGGGACGAGCCAAAAGCUUGCUCAUGAUGGUGGAUGUGAAGAGAGCAGCGUGCUUGAUCACGACGUAGUUGUCUUGCUCAUCGUAGGCUACACCAAUCUCGUCAAGGAACAAGUGAGCUGGUUUGCGCACAAUCUGUUAAACACGGAUAUACAAUAACUUCAGUCUACUACACAUUACCAAUCACAUGCAAACCAAUCUAUGUACUUAAACACAUAAGAAGCUCUUAACACAGAGAGAGUUCGGAUAAAACAUUAUCAUGGGACAAUCUGUCCAACACAAACACACACAGGGCCCGCUAAAUCCCCCAGUAUCUUGAUAGCUUAAGGAUCAAAUAUUUUUUGUAUAUACAAAUUUUUAUAGAGAAAAUUUUAAAUAUUCACUAAAUUUGGUUGAAAAGUAGGCAUAUUUUAUGUGUACAUAAUUUGUUUUCAUCACAAAUUUUAUAAAGAUGUUGAUGAUAAAAUAAUUAAAAAAUAUUUUAAAAAACAUAAAUAUUAAAAACUUCAAUUUUUUUGCGCAUGAGUCCAAAUAAAUAUUGAGCCGUCCCUGAAUAUACAAUAACUCCAGUCCAGAGCAUACAUAUUCGCAUAUGACAUCCAAUAUAUUAAUGGUUAGUAUGUAUUAUAUCAUUCAGUCCUAAAUGAUUUUAAAAUAUAUGUGUUUAGUAAUUGUUUAAGCCUAAUAAUCUCAGAGCCCGCCUUGGCUUCCAUGAACACAAAUUAAUUAAACCAAACCUUAGUAGUUCCUCAGUAGUGUGACAUGCAAGUUAGUCUAAGUACUGAAACACUAUAUAGCAAGCUCUUACCACAAAGAGAGUUCGAAUAAAACAUUACCAUGGCGGAGAAAAGCUGACCACCGAGCCACGCGCCACCACCAGGACUGACAGAUUGCUCGAUGAUUGCGACCUGAACGUUAGGGUUCUUGCUGAUCUCGUAAGCACACGAUAGUCCAGCGGAGCCAGCACCAACGACGACGACGUCGGUCUCGGCGUAAGUGAUCAUAUCAGUCAUGUACCUCCUCGUCAUCUCGCGAGACACGAUGGACUCCUUGAUGGGGUCAAAAGUGAAGGCGUUCAGAUCGUAGCCAGCGGUGGCGCGGACGGAGAGGGAGCGCGGUUUGAGACCGACGGAGACAGGUGCGGCGGAGGAGAUGGAUGAGCCAUGGAAAUAGGAGUCGAAAAGGCGCUGAGGCUUGGUGGAAGAGAGGGAGAGAGUAGAGGUGAUGGACGCCAUAUUUGAGAGGUGUGUUUAUGUUUUGAGUGACGAUGAAGAUGAUGGUGGUGAAGUGAAACUGUGGUGGCUGUUGAAUAUUUAAAUUAGAAGAUGAAGAAAUAUCUGGAGAGUGAUGGCCACGUCAGAGAUAAGGCAUGAAGGGUCGUCGAUUUUUUGUUUUAUUUUUUAUAUAAAUGAAAUUAUUAAUUUCUGCCAUUAAUGGAAACAUUGGAAAGUAACGAUCUCCUUCCUUCACGGUUCGAAUUGAAUGAAGGAAGUUUUGAAAAUUUUCAUGACUUUUGAAAAAACCAAAGUUUAGUGAGAAAGUUAACAUACUUAUUUGUUUUUGUUACCCGAUUAAACCAGAAAUAUUUGCUUGUCUAAGAAAGAAAUAAAUCGUUUUGAUAUAUGUAGUUUAUGAAACAAUUAGAUUCAUAUAUUUUGUAUUAAAAUUCAGUUUGUGGUAAUUAAGAAAUAUCUCGAGACUUUUGUCUGGAAGUUUCUGUAACCAUUUGCACUGAGUGUGUGGUGACACGAACAACACCAGAAAGUGAGAUAUCUGUGUACGAUAGAUAUGGAUUUGGAUUUUACUAGUGAAAAGAUAGUUCACUAUUAUGGUGUCCUACGAAACAGAACAUGCAUGCAAACAAGUACAGCAGACCAAAGCUAAGUGAGCUGCUUGUGCUAGGUAAAACCAAUAGAGGAUCGGAGAACAACGCACAUUAAACCGAAUAAACGUUUUUAUUGAGAAGAAACAAAGACACCAGAAAAGUUCAUAACAUAAAUAGUCACAAGUUUUUUUAAAACACUCCUUUAUUGCAACUCCUUUCACAUAAAGAAGUAUCAAGGGGAAAUUUUCUUAGUUAAAAAAAACUUGUCCUUAAGCAUCUACGGUUUCAGCUGAAUCAGCAGCUGCUAAGACAAGCUCCGGGCUUAGGUCUCCGACAUACGAUCCAUCAAUAACAUUGGGCUGUCCCAAAGCUUUUAGAGCCAGAUGUGCCGCCUUCUGUCCUGAUAUCAUCAUAGCUCCGAACGUUGGUCCCUGCACAUCACAUAUUCAUUCACUCAGUAUAUCAUCCUACUAUAAAUGAUUGAUUCAAGGAAAGGGAAACAAACUCACCAUUCUUGGUGCACCAUCGAUCUCAGCAACUUCCAUACCGGUCACGAUCAUACCGGGAACAACCUCCCUGGUCAACCUCACAAUCGCAUCCUCAGCUGUGUUCAUGUCAAGAGCUUUCAUCCCAGGAACAUGGUCAAUCAACCCAAUGCUCUUCAACCUCUUCACACCGGUGGCUCCAAAGGGACCGUCGUGACCGCACGAGCUCACGACAAUCUUGGCCUCCAUGACGUUAGGGUCCAUGCAAGACUGUGUGUCGUGGUUCAUUGACACAAGAGCCCAGUUAGUCACCACACCGCCGACUCUGUUUCCUUUCACGAUCAGAUCCUCAGCGGCGACAGCGUUGAAGAGCUUGACGUUGGGACGAGCCAAAAGCUUGCUCAUGAUGGUGGAUGUGAAGAGA